CAAUGCAAUAGCGCUAUCAAUCACUUCGCUGUCCAUCUGGAGGCUCUGGAGCAGCCGGUGGAAUAUCAUCUCCUGGUCCCUCUGAAGAUUCCGCCACUGCUUCGUCGGCUCUAGAUUGGUUGAGCCCUCGACGGUAAUCUAUAAACCUUUCCCAAGCCCAUCUACUCAAAUCGUCUCGAUCAUCGAGCCGCAAUUUAGAGAGCCUCUUUGAUUCAUCCAUCUUAUCAAAUCUAACACCCGUCGGUGCCUUUUCGAUAGGGUCCCAACCCUCCGGCUGUUCGGAAGGCCAAGUGAACCCGCCCUUAUUCAUCCAGCUCAACAGCGGAAGAUCGUCAUCUUCCUUUGGGAUGGUGACUUCGGUAACCCAAGAUCUUGGUUGGCGAGGCGCUGCCUUUUUAGGUUUGGCAUAUAAGGAAAAUCCACUGUUGGUGCGACGGCUUGAUUUAGGUGGACCACCGAGAAGGUCGUCAAGUGUUUGACCGUCGAUACUGAGCGAUAUAGUCCUCACAUCAAGAGUCGAAGGAGGUUGGUUGGAUGGGACGGCGCCCGUCCGGCGAGAGCUGCCGGUAGAGCUUGUGGGUGGUGCCGUAUUCCGUCUCUUUAACGGCUCAAGUUUUUGCCCAGGCCUUUUCUCUGCCGCACUACUCGAUGCUUUCGUCCGAGACUUCCUCUCUAAGGGAAACGUAUCAGCACGUUUCUUACCCUUUUCAUUUGAAAGAGGAUCGUCCUCUGAUUUUGCAUCGAUACCCGCUCCUGCUUCUGUUCCUUCGGUGGAAGGAUGUCUCGCUGUCUUCGAGGAAUUAGAUUUAGAUGGGGUUCUCAACUUCCUACUACUAGGAGCAGUGGAAGGAGCUCCGAAAGACCAAAAACUCCUCAUCGACGUUUUAGCACCCCCCGUACUACUAGGUUUUGCCAUCGUCGUCGCUCCGCUUUUUCCUCUUUCGUGUCUUUUUUUGGCCGCACGAUCAAUCGCAUCCCAAUCAAUAUCAGGUUCCCUUCUCCCACCAGCCGGUGGGCCAGCGCGUGUAUCAGUCAUAGACAGAAACGUUUCUGUAUGGUUGGUCUCUGUUGGGAGCUGGGAGGCAUCACCUUCCGCCGCAGGCGGUUCAGUAAUAUCAUCCGUAGGCGAAGGGGGCAGAGCAGUGCCCUCAGUUUCGGGGAUAUCAUCCAAUUUGGUACUUUUCAUGUCCUCCUCAAUAUCUUGUAAUACUUCACUCUCCCCCUCUACAACCCCUGACAACGUCCAAGUUGAAGCAGGAGGAGGGGCAGAGUUCGAUUCUUCAGACGGGGGAACUGCACUGAUUUCUGUUCUGCUGCUAUGGUGGCGCCGUCUGCUACUCUGCUCAGUGGUACUGCCACUUCCUUCAUGACUGCUUUUAAUAGACUUCCCAGUGGUUAGUGUGUUAGGGAUGUUAGCACUAGAUGUGCUAGACCGUCGUCGCCCACGGCCGUAAUGGCUUUCCGGGACGAAGCCCCAGGCGUUAAAUGGCAUUAUUGCAGCGUGUAUGUCGUUAUCGUAAUUUUUUUGUUAUCGGUUUCGCAGAUGUUCUACGCAGUGAGAUACGGCUACGGUGUGUUGAGCUGUGAAACUAUGCUUAUUCUGAAAAAUAGAGCAAAAACAUAGAGGGGAAGAAAAUGUGGUGAUUCAAAAAAUGCGAUGGAUAAUCUUUCAUGAGCAAAGUGUCUCGUAUUUUUACUGCUCUACUCGGUAGAGAAGACCACUUGUACAGCCGUCGGAAUCGGAGCUGAUUCGAAGACAUUAUAAAGGAGGAUCCUGAAG
RNAcentral lists this small RNA (1780 nucleotides) under Cryptococcus neoformans H99. Its description in RNAcentral is "Cryptococcus neoformans var. grubii H99 hypothetical RNA". Lineage: Eukaryota; Fungi; Basidiomycota; Tremellomycetes; Tremellales; Cryptococcaceae. The record is from RNAcentral.